AGCAGUCGCCGCGGUAAUACGUAGGUGGCAAGCGUUGUCCGGAAUUAUUGGGCGUAAAGGGCUCGCAGGCGGUCUCUUAAGUCUGAUGUGAAAGCCCCCGGCUCAACCGGGGAGGGUCAUUGGAAACUGGGAAACUUGAGUGCAGAAGAGGAGAGUGGAAUUCCACGUGUAGCGGUGAAAUGCGUAGAGAUGUGGAGGAACACCAGUGGCGAAGGCGACUCUCUGGUCUGUAACUGACGCUGAGGAGCGAAAGCGUGGGGAGCGAACAGGAUUAGAUACCCCCGUAGUCCCUGUCUCUUAUAC
RNAcentral lists this ribosomal RNA (303 nucleotides) under uncultured bacterium. RNAcentral describes it as "partial 16S ribosomal RNA". It matches the Rfam family "Bacterial small subunit ribosomal RNA", at positions 507 to 807 of the family's 1533-position model. The record is from RNAcentral.